Molecule: ribosomal RNA, 441 nt
Filed under: uncultured bacterium
Lineage: Bacteria
Description: partial 16S ribosomal RNA
Rfam family: Bacterial small subunit ribosomal RNA
Source: RNAcentral
CCUACGGGUGGCAGCAGUGGGGAAUAUUGGGCAAUGGGCGCAAGCCUGACCCAGCAACGCCGCGUGAAGGAUGAAGGUUUUCGGAUUGUAAACCUCUGUAUCUAGGGACGAAGAAUGACGGUACCUCGUAAGAAUGCCCCGGCUAACUACGUGCGAGCAGCCGCGGUAAUAGGCAGGGGCCGAGCGUUGUCCGGAAUGACUGGGCGUAAAGGGAGUGUAGGCGGCCUUGUAAGUUAGAUGUGAAAUCCUACGGCUUAACCGUAGAACUGCAUCUAAAACUGUGAGGCUGGAGUGCAGGAGAGGUGAGUGGAAUUCGUGGUGUAGCGGUGGAAUGCGUAGAUAUUAGGAGGAACACCAGAGGCGAAGGCGACUCACUGGACUGUAACUGACGCUGAGGCUCGAAAGCGUGGGGAGCAAACAGGAUUAGAUACCCUAGUAGUC